RNAcentral lists this ribosomal RNA (735 nucleotides) under uncultured Sebacinales. RNAcentral's name for it is "eukaryotic LSU rRNA". It matches the Rfam family "Eukaryotic large subunit ribosomal RNA", at positions 1 to 664 of the family's 3401-position model. The record is from RNAcentral. Lineage: Eukaryota; Fungi; Basidiomycota; Agaricomycetes; Sebacinales.
GGUGUGGCUCUAUGCUUCCAACCGUCCACCGGGUGGACAAUCUCUGACAAUUUGACCUCAAAUCGGGUGGGACUACCCGCUGAACUUAAGCAUAUCAAUAAGCGGAGGAAAAGAAACUAACAAGGAUUCCCCUAGUAACGGCGAGUGAAGAGGGAAAAGCUCAAAUUUUGAAUCUGGUGUCUUUGACUCCCGAGUUGUAAUCUAGAGAAGUGUUUUCCGUGUCGGACCGUGCACAAGUUCCCUGGAACGGGGCGUCAUAGAGGGUGAGAAUCCCGUAUAUGGCACGGGUUGCCGAUGCAUUUGUGUUACACUCUCAACGAGUCGAGUUGUUUGGGAAUGCAGCUCAAAAUGGGUGGUAAAUUCCAUCUAAAGCUAAAUAUUGGCGAGAGACCGAUAGCGAACAAGUACCGUGAGGGAAAGAUGAAAAGCACUUUGGAAAGAGAGUGAAACAGUACGUGAAAUUGUUGAAAGGGAAGCGUUUGAAGUCAGUCGUGUCUGGUGGGAUUCAGCCGGGCUUUUGCCAGGUGUACUUCCCGUCCGACGGGUCAGCAUCAAUUUCGACCGGGGGAAAAAGACUUGCGGAACGUGACUGUCUUCGGGCAGUGUUAUAGCCGUUUGUUGUAUGCCUCGGUUGGGAUUGAGGAAYGCAGCGCGCCUCAUGGCCAGGGGUUCGCCCCUUGACACGCGCUUAGGAUGCUGGCAUAAUGGCUUUAAGCGACCCGUCUUGAAACACGG